ACCAGACCUACAGACCAGUAACCACCUCAACCACACCUACACACUGGUAACCACCUCAACCACACCUACAGACUAGUAACCACCUCAACCAGACCUACAGACUAGUAACCACACCUACACACUGGUAACCACCUCAACCAGACCUACGGACCAGUAACCACCUCAACCACACCUACACACUGGUAACCACCUCAACCAGACCUACAGACCAGUAACCACCUCAACCAAACCUACAGACCAGAAACCACUUCAACCAAUUUCAGACAGUAAUUUGCAGGUCUAACAGGUGAGUCCAGGUCAUGUGACUCUCCAGCUGGUAGGUUGCCGGUGUAACAGGUGAGUCCAGGUCAUGUGACUCUCCAGCUGGUAAUUUGCAGGUGUAACCGGUGAGUCCAGGUCAUGGUUUGCAGGUGUUAGUUCAAAGAAUAAACAAUGAAUAGACAAUAAGAAGAUAAAUUGUUCUUCCUCCUCAGAGUCAAGAAGAACUGCAGAACCCCCAGCCAGCCUCCAACCAGCAGGAACACAGUGAGGCAGCUGAGGUACAGAAACCAGAGAAGAUGAUGGGGGAGAAAGAGUCAGACUCCACCCAGCCCUCUCACAAUUGGCUGACUGAGGCGGAAUCCUGUCUGCUGGAUCUCAGCGACAUCAGCGGUGAUGUCACAUUCACAUCAUCCAGGGGUGUUGCCUAUAGUGGCCCUGCCUUCCGAUGCUCCGCUCCCGACCUGGUGGACGACCUGC
Cyclopterus lumpus (lumpfish) is the source of this 738-nucleotide long non-coding RNA. RefSeq lists it as uncharacterized. The record is from RefSeq and is a predicted model, not a curated record. Lineage: Eukaryota; Metazoa; Chordata; Actinopteri; Perciformes; Cyclopteridae. The transcript has 3 exons.